AACGCACAUUGCGCCCUUUGGUAUUCCUUAGGGCAUGCCUGUUCGAGCGUCAUUUGUACCCUCAAGCUUUGCUUGGUGUUGGGCGCCUGUCCCGCCUCUGGUGUGGACUCGCCUUGAAAACAUUGGCGGUUGUUGUAUCGACCGGAAGCGCAGCAGAAACGCGCCCUUCCCGGCUUGGUACCCUCCUCCAAGAAGCCAAAUUCUUCAGCUUGACCUCGGAUCAGGUAGGGAUACCCGCUGAACUUAA
RNAcentral lists this unclassified non-coding RNA (247 nucleotides) under uncultured fungus. Its description in RNAcentral is "partial contains 5.8S ribosomal RNA, internal transcribed spacer 2, and large subunit ribosomal RNA". The record is from RNAcentral. Lineage: Eukaryota; Fungi.